UUUAAAUGAAUGAAUCUGCAUAUUAUCAUGAGUGUUCCCCUUGGUUCUUAGCUGAACCAAUUCAGAGACUUAUCUUUAGGCUUAUCACCCUUCGUGCCAUCCAACUUCUGGUUUAUGAAUCAUCUUUGGCUGCGGCACCACACAAGUUCUUCAUUUUUAUUUUUUUCCAUCUACAACCAUGUUCUUUAUGUAUCAGCCUUUAGUUAAGUUACCAACAUAAAACCCAUCCACACUCAUUCUCAUAAUAUUUCCACAAGAACGAUCACUCUUCAAGGAUCUAUGGAGAAUGAAACAUCAAACUUUCCUGGUAACAUUUUACAGUUUCCUAUUUUCUUGUGUUCUUUUUCUAUUUUUUAUUUUUCUCUUUUAAUUUGCAUGAAUUGUUGCAAAACAUAGGCCUUAGAAAACCACUCAAGAAAAAGAGCUAAAAAAGGAUAUGGUCUAACCCUUCAUGUCUUGUUGAAAUUUUCAUUAAAUCCAUAUAGUUUUGAUGUGUGAAAAAACUAUCUUAAAAAUUUGAAAUUCAUGUUUCUACAUAAUCACCCUACAUGAUCGUGUGUGCAUCUACGUCUUGGUUGUGCUUGAUUUUAUUCAUCUAAGAAUUCUAUAAAUUCAAUCCUACUUUUGUACCUCAUUAAUUUAGUUUAGAACUUUGAGAGAAGAUGAGAGUGGUAAAAGAUAAGAGUCAACAUUAUUUAAAAAAGGUAAAAAAAAAAAAAAGAGUUCAUACACUUGGGUGUAAGUGAAACACAGUAAGAGAGUAAAGUGAGGAUGUAUAUUAUGUCUUCCUAACGUUUUGCUAAACAAUGUCAGAAGAAGGUAGUUGUGAUCUAGGUGAAUCAAGUUUAAUCCCUUUUCAAAUGAGGGCCUUAAACUAAAAUUUUGAAAAGUAAUAGGGCAAAUCACAAGUGCACGAUUAUAUCGUCAAGUAAUAAAAUAUCGAUCCCACAAGGAUUGGAAAACUCCUUUAAUUAUAACAAUAAUUUAUCCUUAACUCAAAUAGGAAUUAAAAGUGAAUUUAGAACAAUUCAACAAUUGACAAGAAUAAUUAUGAAAAUAGUAAAAAGGGAUUGAAAUCUAAUUUAGGAAGAGUUCCCACGAUAAGGUUAUCACCUUUACACUCGCAAAUCCUUGUUUUAGUCCUUUGCAUGAACUUUAACUUGUGAGGGUGAAUUUCUCUCUGAUAUAUGUCAUCUUCUCUCGAGCUCUGACACGUGUACUCAAUUGAAGUCGCACCGACUCUCGUGGUACGAUUAUCAAUCAAAUCUUUUACCUGGAUCUUUCUAUCCAAUCCCUUCGUAGCAACCCAAGGUGAAUUCCAAAAACCCCCAAGAAUCCUAAUACUACUCUCGUGAAUUAGGAUUCUAGUUUGAAUAACUGAAUGGACAGAUAGUUGGGUUCACCUCUUGGUCCCUCCGCAAUGUAUCUAAGAGGUGUAAUUUGUUGGCCAGACAACUCACGAAUAAAACUCAGUUUAAUGAUUCAAAUCACAACUCUCAAUGAAAUAGAAGUAAGAACAAGUGUUUAGUGAAUUUAGAAGGGCAUAGCCUCAAUCCUAGAAACAAAGGGAGUUACUCACUCAUGAUGUAGAAGAGAAUCUCAAAUUCUAAAUUAGAGAAUUGUAAUGUAAAGUGUAAAGUUGUAAAGUGUUUUCAUCGUUGAGGGAGAACCCUUAUUUAUCCUAAUUACAAAAUAUUGAGCUAAGUCCAACAAAAUAAAUCUAAAAAAUAGGAAUAUAAUAUAACAUUUAUAACUUCUUUUGGCCCUUCAAUUGGUCUUCGCAUAGCCUAACAAUGAGUUCUUUCUUCUUGCAUCCAAUCUCUACUCUUAUUGGCUUUAACCCAUCCAAACUGCAUGAUAUAACAAAAAACAUACGCUCAACCUGAACAAAGAGAAAUAAAAGCUAAAAGCAAUCCUAAAGCCCUAAUUAUGUCCUAAAAUGCAAGUUAAAUGUAAUGCAAAUGUAGCAUAAUUUCACACUCAUCAAAUCCCCUCAAGCUUAUCUCUUGCUUGUCCUCAAGCAAGUAUUAUGUCUAACUUUCACAAUCAUGUAUGAAUGAUGAUAUAGAAACCGUGACCGAAAAUAACAAGCAAUCUCAUGUUAGUUUUGAAACAAUCCAGACAUCAAGACAAGACAAUCAUAAACAAAUUUAAUUCAAGCUAAGUCUUUGAGUCAUAACAACUUCAUGAAUUAGGAUCACUCUUCUCUCAUCACUCUCAUGUGUUUACAUGUCAUAGUGUUUCGCUUAGAAAUUUUAAUGAAAGUAAAAUACCAUAGGCUUGAUUAUAGACCAAAUCACUACUUACUGUAUUUGAAUGCAUGAAAAAAUUAAGAGGUCUUUAAUUGGUUGUAAUGGGCCCAAGGUGAAUGACUUAAGGUGGCAUGGUCAAAGAAAUGAUAAUUCAAAAGGCUUACAAAUGUUUCCCAAAAUACUUAAACUUUUUAAACAUAUGAUUGAAGCAUUGAGAUUCUCUUAAUAAGUCUUACUUUAUAAUAUGAUCUUUUCUCAAUCAACAUUUCUCCUUACAACACACGUUUUCAGUCCUUCUCUUUUAGUAUACUUUGUAUUUGUUUUUUAGAUUUUCUAAAAGAGAAGGAUGAAAUUUAUUUAUUUAUUUUCUUCUUCACCUUUUUAUGGAUUCUUUCAUCACACAUGACCUUUUUACCUUUCUUAUUGCUCCAACCAAACAUCAUAAAUUACACGAAACCCUCAUUUGAGUAGCUAUGAAAAAUCAUUAAAGUUCGGCUCAAAAGUGGGCAACUAAUGAGUUUUCAAUGUUUAUAGCAAGCGGUUGAAGGUCAAAAUAAAAAGUCAUAACUGUCUCUAUCAUUUUAAUGCAUACAGACACACUUCAAUCUUGAAACAUUCACAAAUCAAGUUCUAGAAUGUACAAUCAUAGAAAAUUAUACACUCAUGAAAGAAAAAAGGGUUUUAUGCAAUUGUCAAUUCAAAUCAGAACUCUUAUUGUGUUUGGCCCAAUUUUCUCCCAUUUGGUACAUUCAGUAGAAGUUAUGAAACGAAUACCUUUAUUUUACUAAAUUUAAUUCAUAAUUGUCAAAUCUAAUAUCUUUCAUGUUAUUAUUCUAUCAACAAAUUUUUUCUUCAAUGGGGGUCACAUAUCAGCAAUCAUUAUUCAUGUAUAUUUUUUAUUUUAAGAGAAGACAAACAACACAUAGAACAAAGCAGAAAAUAGAUGAGAUAUGACACAUAUGUGAAAUGCAUGAUAAUAUGAAUAUUCAACCUAAAAAAUUAAAAUCUAUAUGGUAUGCAUGACAUGAAUGGACUAUCUAAAUGCAAAACCUCCUCAAGCUUAGAAAUUUACAUUGACCCCAAUGUAAAAAUUUAAACAAUAAGAGAAAGAAAAAGAAAACUCACAGGUUAGGUAUAAAGUGUCCUUAACUCAUGUACCAAUCAUAAGUGGUUGACUUCAUCGGGUGUAGUGGAAGUACUUGCAAAAAAGAGAAAAAGGUCCCAAAUGGCUGAUAUGUCCCAGAUGGACUAGGUGCAAAUAUCCUAUUUGAAUGAUGCAGUUAAUAUGCAUUAUCGUGUUAGCACUUUUCCAUGUAAUUUUUUAUUUUAUUUUAUUUUUAUUUUUUAGAGUUUAUGAUUUUUUUGUGGCUGACACUAUAUACAUCCCCUUACAAAGGCUCCGAACUCAGGAUGACACUAAAGUCGACAUUAAAACACUAAAACUAAUGAAUUAAAGAAAAAUGUACCUCCAACUUGGGUUGCCUCCCACGAAGCACUCGUUUAACAUCAUUAGCUUAACGUUUGAUUCUUGCGCAUUACAUAGGAUUCCAUGAACUCAUACCCGAGAGUGAAGGGAAUAUUUUUACUUUCCUUUUAGGUGUUUUCCCUUUCUCCCAAUUAUCAAAUUUAUGUCUGACCUUCAAGCUCUCCUCAUGCGGGUUAUAGGAGAUUGGUGAGCUUACAUUUCUAGAUUCACUACCCUCGGCCACUUCCUCAUCCAAAUUCGAAGUGUCACCUACCAGCAUGCUUCUCUCUAAGAGAUCCUCAUAUUUCACUUUAGACACUUCAUCCUUCACUACUUGGUUCGGCAUAUCAAUCCUGCAACAUGAGUCCUCAAGAGAAGGUUGUUUAAUAGAUUUAGCAAUAUCAAAUUCAACAUUUUCAUCCCAUAUGCUUAGAGAAAGUUUUCCAUUCUUAACAUCAAUUAUAGCAUGAGAGGUAGCCAAAAAUUGUCUAUCUAGUAAGAUUGGAAUCUGUGUAUCUUCUUCCAUCUUUAGUAUUACAAAAUCUGUUGGAAUGUAAAAUUUUCCAACUUUGAUAGGAACAUCCUCCAAGAUGCCUAUAGGUAAUUUAACUGACCUAUCCGCUAAUUGAAGUGAUACAAUAGUGGGUUUUAGUUCACCCAUAUCCAACUUUUUACACACAGAUAAAGGCAUGAGGCUCACACUUGCCCCUAAGUCACAUAAAGCACGGGUCAAAAUUAGUGUUACCAAUUAAGCCAGGGAUAGAGAAACUACCAAGAUCUUUUAGUUUUGGAUGCAAUUUAUUUUGAAUUAAAGCACUGCACUCCUCAAUUAAAGUAAUUGUUUCAUAAUCAUCUAGUAUUCUCUUUUUAGACAUAAUAUCCUUAAGAAAUUUCAUGUACGUAGGCAUCUCCUACAGUGCCUCACUGAAGGGCAGUUCGAUAUAUAAUUUAUUAAGGAUAUUUAAGAAUUUCCCAGCUUUUUUUUCUAAUUUUGCCUUUGCAAUUCUCUAGGGAAAAGGAUUUGGUGGUACAUAUGAUGGUGGAGCUACAUCUUAUAUACCUUUUCAAAAUUUUGCUCCCCUUUAGGGGGUUGUGUCUUAGUAUGUUUUUCUUCCACUUGUAUAUCAUUCUCAAUUCAUGGAACAGCCUUGAGUUCCUUCCCACUCCUUAAUCGGAUAGCCUUACAAUGUUCAUUAUUUGGAUUUUUCUAUAGUUGUCAUGGAAAUAUCCCUAUUCGCCUAUUAAAGUUGCUAGCUUGUUGGACAAUUUGUGUUUCUAACAUUUUUCCAUGGAUUGUUAGGUUUUCUAUCUUAGAACUCAAAUCAUUUAACAUAUUUGCAACAUUUGUAUUAAUCAUGAUUUGAUCCUCUUGAAAUUUAUUAAGGUUAGCAAAUAAUUUUUCUUGACCUUCCAUUAUUAUUAUAAAAGUGGUAUCAAUAGGAGAAGAUUGAACCUGUGAAAACCAUGUUGUAGGUUUCCUAUUACAUUGCUCAUCCUGAUGAUGAUGCUUUAAAGUGUUGUUGCUCCUCCAGGAAAGGUUGGGAUUGCUCUGCCUGUAUGGUGGGUUGAAUUGUUGUCCACUCCUCUCCUUAUUGUCAUGGUAAUUGCAUGAUUCAGGUUGUUCAUUGGCCCAAGCUCCAUGUACAGGUGCAGUGACUGUUUGCAUUCUGACUACUCAUGACCUUUUGCUCCACAUCCCUCACAAGUUACAGUAGACCCA
Molecule: long non-coding RNA, 5437 nt
Filed under: Lupinus angustifolius (narrow-leaved blue lupine)
Lineage: Eukaryota; Viridiplantae; Streptophyta; Magnoliopsida; Fabales; Fabaceae
Description: long non-coding RNA (LANG_LNC002590)
Source: RNAcentral